Molecule: ribosomal RNA, 253 nt
Filed under: uncultured bacterium
Lineage: Bacteria
Description: partial 16S ribosomal RNA
Rfam family: Bacterial small subunit ribosomal RNA
Source: RNAcentral
GACAGAGGUGCCGAGCGUUAGGCGGAAUCACUGGGCUUAAAGCGUGUGUAGGCGGGCGGGCAAGUACCUUGUGAAAUCCCACGGCUCAACCGUGGAACUGCUGGGUAUACUGCCUGUCUUGAGCCAGCUAGGGGCGAGCGGAACAGACGGUGGAGCGGUGAAAUGCGUAGAUAUUACCAGGAACACCAAUGGCGAAGGCAGCUUGCUGGGCCACUCCUGACACUGAGGUACGAAAGCGUGGGGAGCGAACAGG